AACGAACGCUGGCGGCAUGCCUAACACAUGCAAGUCGAACGAGACCUUCGGGUCUAGUGGCGCACGGGUGCGUAACGCGUGGGAACCUGCCUUUAGGUUCGGAAUAACUCCCCGAAAGGGGUGCUAAUACCGGAUAAUGUCUUCGGACCAAAGAUUUAUCGCCUUUGGAUGGGCCCGCGUUGGAUUAGCUAGUUGGUAGGGUAAAAGCCUACCAUGGCGACGAUCCAUAGCUGGUCUGAGAGGAUGAUCAGCCACACUGGGACUGAGACACGGCACAGACUCCUACGGGAGGCAGCAGUGGGGAAUAUUGGACAAUGGGCGAAAGCCUGAUCCAGCAAUGCCGCGUGAGUGAUGAAGGCCUUAGGGUUGUAAAGCUCUUUUACCCGGGAUGAUAAUGACAGUACCGGGAGAAUAAGCGCCGGCUAACUCCGUG
RNAcentral lists this ribosomal RNA (433 nucleotides) under uncultured bacterium. Its description in RNAcentral is "partial 16S ribosomal RNA". It matches the Rfam family "Bacterial small subunit ribosomal RNA", at positions 29 to 507 of the family's 1533-position model. The record is from RNAcentral.